UGGAGCCUCUCAGAUGUGCGGUGGGCCAUUGCCUUUCCCUGCUCUGAAGUUCUUUUGUUAGAGCUCUGUGGCUUCUGUGCCGAGUUCGUUUGCUCCGUGCAAUCCGGCGCCAUCGCGUUUUGGGCGAGCGCUGUAUAAUGGAUAGUAGAGAGGCGGGAAUCGACCCGACGCCGAGCUGGCUUUGGCGAUGGUGGUGCGCGCUCCGGAGGACCGAUUGGAGAACGACACCAGGAGACAGCUCACUGAUUCGGAGGUGACGCAAGAGCUUCUGGUGUGACUUGGCUCAAUGCAUGUGAUGCCACAGGAGCUUGACCAAGGAUGUCCCGGAAUCUUAAUUUAGCGAAUCUUUUUCUGAAGACGUUUUGCCUCGAUGAGGGAGUUAGUUCAUGAAAGAAGGGAUCGUGUUAAGGGUGGUAUCUGGAAGAGAUGUGUGGCGUUGGAAGGUGAUAUGAAAUACACAGGAAAGGGCCUGUUCAGAAAGAGGUGUUUCUCCUCCUGCUCUAAGAAAAUGCUCUUCACACAAGCCUGAUGGCCUGAACUAAUUCCUGGAGCCCACGUGGUGGAAGAGAGCGGACUCCUGAAAGUUAUCUUCAGAUCACAUAUACACAAUAAGAAAAUAAAUGUAAAUUUUAAAAAUCAAAAUAGUAAUCAAAACAUUAGAAUGCUGUUUUACUGAAAUGUAGACGUGAUGCAAGUGAUUAUGGAACAUCUGGAUGCUUUGUAUAGUUUUGUACAAAACUUUACUCUUUUCCGAAAUGAGAAAAGGAUUAAAAUUGUCAAAGGAAUUGAACUCUGUAAAUCUUUUUCUUUUGCAAAGAAAGAGUUAUUUGUAGUGGUAUUUUGCAGUGCCCUCAGAUCAGAUAGAGCUGGAGUUAGAGUGGUGAGCUGCCUGGGGUGGGUGCUGUAAGCUGAACUCUCUGGAAGAGCGAGUACUGAGUCAUCUCUCCCGCCCAACUUUUUGUGGCUAUGAAUGAAAUCUUUUGCAUUCUAGAGAAAAAGCAAGAGUAAGAUGUGCCAUGUUGGAAUAUCAUGACUGCCAAUCAAAAUGAAUUGUUGUCCCGAUAGAGGGCUAGCCCACUAGUUACUAGUCAGAAGUGUCCUUGUUUAAACAUUUCAGAAGUUGUGUCAAAUGAGGGUAGCUGCCCAAUAAAAGCCAGUUUGUUCUUGCAGAUCCGAUUGUGUCGCUGUCUGGUCUGUGCUUCAUUUGUAGUAUACAAUAAACAUUCUUUUAACUGUUC
Long non-coding RNA from Chionomys nivalis (European snow vole), 1238 nucleotides. RefSeq lists it as uncharacterized. The record is from RefSeq and is a predicted model, not a curated record. NCBI's taxonomy places the organism in Eukaryota, Metazoa, Chordata, Mammalia, Rodentia, Cricetidae. The transcript has 4 exons.